GGAAUUGUCCCAGAGAGGACAGAAGAGUAGAUGACAAAUAAAUGAGUCCAUGUCAUUUGCAGUGAACUACAUUUUGUUUCAGUGAACAAAUGUGCUACAAGUUUUCAGUCUGACUCCUCAAGAGGAGGGGAAAUACCUGAAUAACUCUCAGGCAAAACGGAAUGCCUGGGAAGGAAUUCACCACUACAAGAGAGAGACUGGAAAUUUCAGAGCCUGCAGUUCAAAGUGCCUGAUACUGCUUGGAAGGCAAUGUGGUUCCUUCCUGCUGACCUCAGUUCUGCUGAGUGUGAGAUUUGCAAGGGGCGGUCACUUUAAAAUCUGCAAACAUACCUUCAUUUUGUCCUUCUACUGAUUAUUUCUCUGGAGGAAAAACAAGAACACUGUUGGGAUAAGCAUUAAAGGCAAUGUUAAAAGUUUAAUUUCAGUAUGGUUCAGAAUUGAGAGGAAGUUAGAGAUCUGAGGGUUUUCGCAAGCUGCACAAUCCUAUUAACCUUCAUACCCAGACUUUUACAUAAAGUCACACUGACACAGACAAGAGGACAGAAAGUGCUACUAUAAAACCGUAGCCCUUGAUCUUAUGUCAAUUACACCAAGAAAAGUAUAUUUUAGCAUUAUAACCAUUUCCAUUAUCUUUCCCCUGUUUUGUUGUUGCUUUGUUUUUAAACAGCCACCCUUAAAAGGUAAGAUGUCAAUCUAACUUGAGAUUCAAAAAAUGCAGGAAGCAUGGAUGUUUUACUAAGGCAUAUAAAUAUUUAUUUUCUGCAAAUAUUUCUUAGUAUUUCAGUUUGAUCAGUAGUGGACAAAUCUCACACCUAAAGCUUUUGAAGUGUUCUGCCUCAUGCUCAAGUUACUGGCUGAUAGCCAGUAAGAACAUCUGGCAACCUUUCCUUAAAAGAAAACUCCUGAAUAUUUUACAGUAAAUAAUAUGCAAAUUACAGGAUUUAUUUUCUACAUUUAAAACAAACAAUGUAAAUGUGAUAUAUAUUGGAAGAGAGUACAUCAGUUCUUUACUAAUUACUAUAGGGAAAACCUAAAUACUUUACUUUGAGCUCAGGUGAAAGAAUUAUUUUGAAAAGACAACCUUGAUUCUUACAACACAACAGGCUCCUUUGAUCUGCUAUAAAUACAGACUACUUAUUUACUACCUUGUGUACUGCACUACCCUUCUUAUCGGAAUUAGUUUUAAAAAUUCCAUUGAAGUAGUUUCAGACUAGUUAAUAAAAAUCUCAGUAUUGAGAUUCUGGUAUUUAAACUGAUUAGUGAUUCAAUUUGCUCUCAUUCUGACCACUGGCAGCCAGUAUACUUCUGGGAACUCCUAGGCUGUUCCAGCCCUAUUGCUGUGGAGCUGCCUGGGGAUUAUUGAUAGUCAGAAUAAAGCAAAGACACUUCAGCUCAGCCCCUCAACCCAGCUCCCUCCAAAGCUACCCUGCUGCUCCCUCAGCUGCACCUAGAUGGCUCUUAAUGCUCUGCUGACUGUAGUAACGUGAUCAAAACCCCUAGGAGGAAGAGGUACUGUUAUGAGUAUACUUCUCAUUGCCUACAAACACAGCAUAUAGGAGAGGAAGAAAACAUAGGGAAGGAUUAUUUUCACUCCUUGAUCUGACUGGUAAUUAUUAGUUCAUUCUUUCUUUGUACAACAUUCUUGCCCCUCAAAUGCAUAAAGAAAGAAACCCCUGGCUACACACUUAAGGGAACAAAAGCAUACUGUUAGAAUGAUUUUAUUUAGAGAAAUGUUACCUUUUUUUUAUGUUUCAGUGCUGAUCUCUCCUCUGGUGACAGCAACAGGACCUGAGGGAAGGGCAUGGAGAUGCCUUGGGGGAGGUCAGGCUGGGCAUUAUAAAAAAUUUCUUCACCAGAGGGCAGUGGGCAUGGGCUCCCAGGAGCAUUUGGAUACUACUUUCACACACAGGGUUUGAAUUCUGUGUGGUGCUGUGUGGAGCCAGGAUUUGCACUCAGUGAUCCUUGUGAGUACUUUCCAACUCAAGAUAAUCUAUGAUUGUAUGUUUGAUGCAAUACAGUGGUGAGACAAAAAUUUGUUUAGAGGGUGAAAUGCAUACAGUGCCAUGCAAUGCAACCCUGUCCAGACUUUGACAGGUACAAGAGUAAAAAUUCAAAAUAAACCUCAACUUUGAAUAAAUAUCAUUAGUUGCCAUACUUUUGCCUCUAUUAUAUCAGAAUGAGUUUGUGUGAGCUUCAGCUCUACACAGAUUAGUAGUGCAAAAUCUACGGUUUUCUGAGGUGUACGAAUACACGUACACACCACUAUUAAAUGGGUGUACACAUACACAUUACAUGUGUGGUGAAAAAAUCCUAUGUGUUUAUAAACACUUAUAUGCACUAAUGCUUUUAUUUAUAUACUCAAUGCACAUACAUAUAUAUAGACAUACAUCCACAGGACUUGAUCAUUAAGGGUAUGUAUAUGUGUGCAAGUGUAGAAUAAACUAUAUGACUUGAGAAUAAAAAUGAAACAAAGUUUGUGAUGACAACAGGGGUUUUGAAAACACAGGCACAAGGACCCAGGUCUGUAAAUAUCCUAAGAAAACCUUGUGAUUAAAGAAAUACAAUUUUGGCAGCACAUGACUAACUGGUAGCAGAAUUCACCCUGGUUUUCUGACUGAGCUGUGUGUUGCAAUUGCAAUAGCAAUUUUGCUAACUAACUUACAUUUGUAUUGUGUUUUCAAAAAUGUGCUUAUCAGAAAUUCAUAUGUAAUUAUCAAGAUAUCCUAACAUAAGUAACAAUAUGCAAGGAACUUCCAUUGGCUUAAUUUUCUGAAAGGAGCAGUCUGGUACUGAACAAUUCUCACUGUGUCCUUAACUUAGUCAUAAUUAGAUGAAAAGAAAAAUCAUCUUCUUGAACACUGUGGCCUGUGCCAACGAUUACCAACUGAAGAGAUAGAAGGCAAAGAAGAAACUGCCAGAGGAAAUUCUUGUAGUGCAUUCACACUACAGCCUGUUAUUUGCAUUUGGGGAGUAGUGUUCUCAACACACCAAAAUGUUGCGAUCUCCUACAGAGAGAGAAUGAAGAUGAAUGGCUUUGGUUGGUGUAUCGAACCCAUUGCAAGGUUAAUACAGUUUUAAUUUCUCAGCUUUGCUGUAUUAAUUUUAUAUGUACUCCUCUGUGGAUUUCCUGUAAUUUGAGCGAAACGGAAUCUCCUGGUCUUUAUGCUACAGAAGACAGCGAUCCCUUACAAAGUGUUUCAAUGCACUGUAGCAUCUGAUUUAAGGGGAACAGGAUGCAAAUACAGAAAUAAAUUUAUCUUACUCCAUUUCUAAUUUAGCUGAUUAAUCCGUGUGGUACAUACAACACAACACACACAUCACCUCCUGUACUGCUGUCUGACAUUUUACAGUUUCCUUUAGCUCACCCAGAAAGCCACCGAGCCGUCUGGUGACAGAUUUUUCUUCUUUAUGAAUUCAGUGCCAUGUACUGAGAAGAACAACACACUGUCAUGCACUUCCACAGCUCCCUGUUGUGACUUCAGACACUGUUUCUCACAAAAAGUCCUCCACGGCUAUGAAUUUCAAGACUUUACUUGUGUGUAAUACACAAUGCAUUUUCAAAAUGCUAAAGAAUGUAAAGUUCUCAUUUAGAACUAAAGAUCACCUGAAGUAUUUAAUGUCCUUUCAUUACAUUAGAAGUCUUGGCAACUUUGUUUUUCAGCAGGUGGAAGCGAAGCCUAAACGUAAUAUUUACUUGGAUGCUUUAAAAGAAAAACCUUACUCUGAUAGCGACAAUAUAACUGUUGUAUAAUGCCUGGGAGGGAAAGUGCCAAAGCAUAAAAAAAUCUCCAAAGCUUAAAGACAUAUUUAUGAAUCUUAAAUGGAAGAAUUAACAGUUACAAACAUCUGGAUUUCCUUUGAAAGCUGUCUAUUAUGUUAUAGGGAUUCCCUGCUGAACUGUACAAUUCCAGAGCUGCUAUGGCCAGUACUCAGUUAUGAUAUUUGCUGUAGUUCUAGUUCUUCUGGUGGACCUUUCAUUUCAGCUAUGGAGAGGUUUCAAAAGUAAACUUUUUCUGGCUGUUCUCUACCACUGUGAUGACAUAGUAUCCAGACUGCAUGGGAGUGUCUUGAGCCUACAGAUGCAUGCACUCAGGCAAGCUUCCAAAAGACUUUGCCAAAAGUACAUCUUCCUACAAUUUGCUGCCUUACUACUGCAGAAUUAAUGCUAGUCCAGUUGAAAUGAAACAAGAUCUACAGAUAACUUGUAAAACAUAUCUACAAGGACUUUCACUGACCCUUCAUACUUUGUAGAACACCGUGUCCAGGAAGGAGAAAAAUAAUAAAAGUUUGGUGAAAAGUACUAACAGGUAAACAAAUGGACUGAAAAUUUGAAUGUCAUGGUGUAACUAGGCUCACAGAAGAUGCAAACUUCUCAAUUACAGCAAAUUCUCAAUUGCAAUUCUCAAUUGCAGCAAAAGAACCUAUGAACUUCAGAUUUGGAUCAUUGAAAAGAUGUGGUGAAGUUUACUGGCCAAAUGAAAUAUUCCCAAGACAAGUUCCAUGAAAUAUGAAGUUUUAAUACAAGAGCUGCUUCAAAAAUAAUGUUUCCCUUUUUUAUUAUGUUGGCCCACAGAGUCAGAGGUAGAUGUUGGUAGUAUGGUAGAAGAGGUUGAACUUUCACACCAUGAAGGUUUGUUGCUAUGUGACAGAUGGCAGUAGAGGGGCAGUCUGAUAAAAUGGUGUCUGCCAUGGAAAGGCAUGAGAAGAAAAAGUGUGUCAUUGAAUUUCUCCAUGCAGAAAAAAAAAAACCUGCAACCAUUGAUGGUCCUGGAUGCUUGGUGAAUGUUAAUAGAGACCAAGCAGUGGAUAUGAGCACAGUUAGGUGGUGGGUGGUGCAUUCCAACAAUGGCACUGCCAUAGCAGCUUUGAAAUAAUGGGUCAACCUCUACUGGUGCAGAUUUUUACUGGUGUGGCAUGCAAGCUCUUGUUCACUAGCUCUUGCUGGUGAAAAUGCGUAGCUAAUGAUGGUGAUUAUGUUGGAAAAUAGUGUUUUGUAGCUGAGAGUUUGCUCUAUCAAAUAGUGUUAUUGUGUUCUUUGUAUCUGUUGUAGUUUCCACGGAAAUAAAUAGGAGGCCUUACUUUUGGAGUAACCUAUGUAUUUAUAUUUCUUUUUGCACUCCUCAAGAAAUUUUGGGAGUAAUGUUAGGAUUAUGAUGAUAAAAUCGAUAAUUUCAUGAGCUAGCCCAAAAUAAUUUCAGAGAAAAAUAAUCACAUGCAAUGGAAAUACCUAUUUAUUAAGUUCCUUAUUCAUUAAUGAAAACAAAACAUUUUAUGAAAUGCCAGUUUCCUUUAUGUCUUACGUUUUUAAUUUAAGAAGGAAAUCAUUAUUAACUGCGUUUUGUACUUAAAUGGAAAUUAGCCUUGCCCGUGUAAAUGACUGCAGCAGUAAACCUGAGUAACAAGAAAUGCAUUGCUUUUCUUCUUAAAUCUGGCUUUGAAAGAAGAAAAUAAAGAUUUGUCAUCCCUUAAGGAAGCAAAUGGCCUGAUUUUGUCAUCAGUUGUCAUUUCACUCUUAACUCAAUAAAUCUUAAUCUUCAAAGUCAGUAUUGGCUUAUUAAAGAUAAACUGCAAUUCUGGAUGAUGUUUCCUCUCUUCCUGUAUUUGUUCCCAUGAAAUACACAUUACCCUUGACACAAUGGUUUUCUGUGCCUAUCCUAAGUAUCAAUUCAAUGCUAUUAAAUGCAUGUCUAAUACUAAAUAAAGCAUGCAGAUUAAGCACUCCUUAUUACAUGUACUUCAGUUUAUUGACUCACACCUUAGGUUUGUUUCUGUAUUGAGAGAGUAGUAAUUUACUGCAUGUGAUUUAUAGUUCCUAGGCAGUGGAAUGUAUAUACAUAAUGUAUUAAAUUUAAUGAAUGAUGAAAGUGUUAAAAAUUUCCGAAAUAAAAAUAGUUGUGUGUUCUUCAAAUUUA
This is a long non-coding RNA of Gallus gallus (chicken), 5912 nucleotides long. RefSeq lists it as uncharacterized. The record is from RefSeq and is a predicted model, not a curated record. The transcript is spliced from 4 exons. NCBI's taxonomy places the organism in Eukaryota, Metazoa, Chordata, Aves, Galliformes, Phasianidae.